CUACGGGAGGCAGCAGUGAGGAAUAUUGCACAAUGGGGGAACCCUGAUGCAGCAACGCCGCGUGGAGGAUGACGCAUUUCGGUGUGUAAACUCCUUUUAUAUGUCAAGAAAAUGACGGUAGCAUAUGAAUAAGCACCGGCUAACUCCGUGCCAGCAGCCGCGGUAAUACGGAGGGUGGCAAGCGUUACUCGGAAUCACUGGGCGUAAAGGACGCGUAGGCGGGUUGGAAAGUCAGGUGUGAAAGCCUACAGCUUAACUGUAGAACUGCACUUGAAACUUCUAAUCUAGAGUAUGGGAGGGGGAGAUGGAAUUAGUGGUGUAGGGGUAAAAUCCGUAGAUAUCACUAGGAAUACCUAAAGCGAAGGCGAUCUCCUGGAACAUUACUGACGCUAAGGCGUGAAAGCGUGGGGAGCAAACAGGAUUAGAUACCCGAGUAGUC
Molecule: ribosomal RNA, 439 nt
Filed under: uncultured bacterium
Lineage: Bacteria
Description: partial 16S ribosomal RNA
Rfam family: Bacterial small subunit ribosomal RNA
Source: RNAcentral